CAGCAACAAAAUUAAGCCCAGCAGUUACAUUGGGCUUCGCAGGAGGGGGUGUAGGCUGAAUUUGUGGAUGGUUGAGAGAUUCACAUGGGCCUCACAGUAGAGGCCCGUCACUUUGUCCAGGACAUGCUGUUGGGGGUGUGAUCUGCCGAAUGGAAGUAUGGGGAGGUGAACGCUUGCCCAAGCUCCAAAUGUUCACAUUUUCCAAAACCGGGUCAUGAACCAGAACUCUACACUCACAAGCUUUGUCCCCAAAUUACUAGCUAGGUCGAACAUAAUCAGUAUGCCUUCCAUCCAGAACAAGAAUUUCGCGCAAUACGUACGAGCAUCACGGCCAUAAAUUCAAACGAAAAGCUCGAAACGAGACUCACCUUGAUGUCCGGUAUUCUUCUGUUCGCGGUUGAUCGAGACGAAGAUGAAGUCGUCGGAUUCAGAUUCGUGUGCUUCUUUAUGUGUUUCGUUGAUUGAGACGAUGAUGGAGAAGUCGCGUCGGAGUGUGUUGUGAAGAGGAUUGAAGGCGGCGACGAGGUUUGAAGGUGGCGACGAGGAUUGAAGGUGGAAUUGUAAUGCGAAGAUGAAGGUUUCUCUGAAAUUAGUGAGCUCCUUUCGUUCCAAUCUUCUUCGAUUCUCUCACACCUGCUUCUCCUUGGAUCUUGGUUUCGCUUCUGGAUGCGGAUGGUUUACGUUCUUUGCAUGUUUCUUCUGGCCGAUGGGUUUUGCAGGGCUCGAAGACUUGAGAGAAGGAGAAGGUUUGAAGGUUCUGUUAUGGUGGUUAUAGGAUUUUGCAGAGUGAUGAUAAAGGAUUUCAAUUGAUAUGAGGGAUUCACCGAAUGAUCAAGAGAAUCGAAUUAAUGCCAAGGUAUGUGGAUUUAUAGGAUUCAAUUUCUGUUAGAAAUUCAAAUGAAACUCAUAUUGAAACUCAGAGUUGGUUAGAAAUGCAGUUGGUUAGAAAUGCGGUGGGUUAGAAAUUCAAAUUGAAAUGUAAAUUCAAAUCUAAAUGAAAUUCCUUUCCCUGCUUUUUGACCUACACUCUGUUAAAUGUUCAUUAAGUGAAAAAUCAGUUGGUUAGUUCCUUUUUUAAAUGAGAUUCAAAUUCAAAUGCACUGCUAGUGAAAUUCAAAUGCACUGCUAGUGAAAUUCAAAUGAAAUAACCUCCUGUUUUAAUGAAAUGCACAACUAUUAUGUUUAUUGUGUAGGUUAGUGAAAAUUAGUAGGAAUUCCAUCACAGUUAGAAACAAAUAUAUGUUGAAGAAAUGCCAUGUUGAUAUUGUGCAUUGUGGUGUAUUGUACUUGUUCUGCUAUGAUGUGUUGUAGGCCUGUUGCAUAUGAUUUUUUUCUUUGUUUUGGUUUGUAGGAAAUACUUUUGGAAUGUUAAACUAUUAACUAACUUCUAUUAGUUAUUAAUUUAUGUUAAAUGCAAUGGUUAAGUGUUAUUGGUUUAGAAGAGUGACAUUAAUUGUGAUGUGAGUUGAAAUUGGAGGAGAAUUUGGUUUUGAUGUUGACUUGUCAUGUGAGGUUAGAACUGCUGUUACGCAUUACUCUAGGGGUUAUUUUCAUCUGCAAUUCUGAACAGGGUUAAUUGUGAGGUUAGAAAAUCAAUUCCAGGUUCUGUUAGUAUUAAAAAAAAGGUUGAGUUAGUUGGUACCGUAAGUUCAGUUAGUGAUUUAGUUACGAAACGUAAUGAUUGAAAACAACAGAAAAUGAUUUGAAUUCUGCCUAUGUUUGGUGAUAUACCGUAGGACUCAGUUAUUGCUCUAUUUAGCUUACUAAUUAUCUAUUCCAAUUUGUUCGUGGUUGGUUUAAUUGGUGCGUUAAAAAACUGUUUUGUAGGUUGGAAGUUUGCGAACGGCCAUUAGAUUAAGGUGACCGGCCAACGCAGGUAUCCUCUCAAAUUGCCGAUUUUGGUAGUUGAUUAGUAGAGUUAAAGUUGUGAUAGUUGUUAGAAGUUGGCUCAGGUUAAUUGUUAGCUUGUUUGAUGCACAUGGAUGAAUUUGGUAUGUCAUGGCCAUGAAUGUAGAUGCUUUGAGUGGCGGGUCUGUUAUGCUUGGUAUGCCGGCCAUGUGAAUUACAAGGCUAACGUAUGCUUUGUUUAGUAAUGCAGAAACUUGGUACGUUAUGAUGUUUUAUUAUUGCUGACUAUUACAGAUUGCCAGGUUGGUAUGUGAAUGGAUUUUAUGCCGAUGAAUGAUUGUGUAUUGCCAUGAGUUGUCUUAUGUAUGUGAAAUAUAACCAUGGGUCUAACUUUGAAUGAUUUUGCAGUGCAUGAUUAUGAUGCCGUUAUGAUGACAAGCUACAAGUUUUUGUUUUAUUGGAUUUGUCAAUUGCUGGAUUAUAGUUAUGAUGCAGUUGAAUGGUUAACUAAGGAUACACAUGAGGUUGAUAUAUUAGCAUUGUUAGAACUAUACAAAAGCCAAUUAAAACUAUGCUAAUCUAAGUCACUUGGAUUGAAUGCUAAAACUUGGUUAUAAUGCUAUGCUAGUUACUUUAGUUAUGAGUCUUAUGCCAUGUUGGUGCGAACUUGUUUAGCUUUAGAAUUGAUGUAUGCAUACCAUUGUGAUGAUGAUAGAUGGGAAGAUGUUUUGCAUUUCAACAUUUGGUGUAUGGUAUGGUAUGACAUGCUAAAUUGAACUAGAUUAUGAAUGAGUUCAUGGUGUGUUUGAGAUAACAUGUAUGGUUAAUGCUAUCUUGCUUGGUUUAUUGGCACGGUUAAUGUAACUUGGUGAUAAUGCCAACAAUUUGGUUUGCUUUUUGUAGGAUGUGCGAACACGAAAUGAUGGAAAUCAAGGUGUAGCUUCUAUUUGAAGAAAAUGGUGAAAGUUUGGAUCAUUGUGUCAUGGAGUUAGAUGUAUUUGGACUUGUCAUAUUUUCUUUUUUUGUUAUAAAUUAGUAGUUUGGAGUUGACAUGUUGUAAUGGUUGGAAACUUGUAGCUUGAAAUGUAUGGUUGUAGUUAUGUAACUUGAAAAAUUGAAUGCAUGGUAUUCACGGUUGUAAUAAUAUGAGAAAAUUGUAUGGAAAUGUACAUGGUUAGUUCAUGAAAAUGUAAAUCGAAAUGGUUAGAAAUUGUAAUGAAUAAAUGGUUAGAUGAAAUAUUUCGAAUUGAAGUGUUGUAAUGGGGAUAGGGACAAUGUAUUUGUGUGGUUGGCAAUUGGAAUUCAUUUGCACAUGGUUGAAAUUGGAAUGGUUUUAAUGGUUUAUGUAUUUGGAAGUUGUAUAGAACCAUGUAUGUUGGUUUAUGAUAUGCAAUGCUUGUGAAGCAAAUGCCCAUGUAUGGUUCAAGAUGCUUGUAAGUAUAACAAAAUUGUGAUGAUAUGUUCAAGAUAUGACUCAAAA
This 3328-nucleotide long non-coding RNA is filed under the name Lathyrus oleraceus (garden pea). RNAcentral describes it as "Pisum sativum (pea) long non-coding RNA (PSAT_LNC020681)". The record is from RNAcentral. Lineage: Eukaryota; Viridiplantae; Streptophyta; Magnoliopsida; Fabales; Fabaceae.